Etheostoma spectabile (orangethroat darter) is the source of this 451-nucleotide long non-coding RNA. RefSeq lists it as uncharacterized. The transcript is spliced from 3 exons. The record is from RefSeq and is a predicted model, not a curated record. Lineage: Eukaryota; Metazoa; Chordata; Actinopteri; Perciformes; Percidae.
AGUCCUCAUAUCAAGACAGUUUGGUAACAUCUUUGUAAGAAUGGUUGCUUAUGGAAAUACUAACGUCACUAUGUCACAGGCAAAGGAGACAGAAAGAACUGAGGAACAGGGAGACCAGGGGCAGUCAGGUGUAGAGUCUCAGGGAGACCAGGGACAGUCAGGUGUAGAGUCUCAGGGAGAUCAGGGACAGUCAGGUGUAGAGUCUCAGGUAAGUGUGUUGAGCUUAGUUCAUAUUUUUGGAGGUGUGUGAGUCAGGGUUAGCAGAUGAGCUUUACCAAUGGCUCGCUAAUUUACAUGAUGAUGAGCUAAUUUAACAAAUGUAAAUGUAAAAGCAUUGUAUUUAUUUUAUAUGGGGUCACUUUUUUGUUUUUUAAAUAAGUCAUUGUGUUUUACGGUAUUUUUGUGGCUUGAUUGUAAACUGAAAAAGAAAUAAAUGGUUUUAAAGAAGAAU